UGGGGAAUAUUGGACAAUGGGCGCAAGCCUGAUCCAGCAAUGCCGCGUGUGUGAAGAAGGCCUUCGGGUUGUAAAGCACUUUUAUCAGGAGCGAAACGCUGUCGGCUAAUACCCGGCGGAACUGACGGUACCUGAGGAAUAAGCACCGGCUAACUUCGUGCCAGCAGCCGCGGUAAUACGAAGGGUGCAAGCGUUAAUCGGAAUUACUGGGCGUAAACGUGCGUAGGCGGUUUCUUAAGUCUGCUGUGAAAUCCCCGGGCUCAACCUGGGAAUGGCAGUGGAUACUGGGAGGCUAGAGUGUGUCAGAGGGUGGUGGAAUUCCCGGUGUAGCGGUGAAAUGCGUAGAGAUCGGGAGGAACAUCAGUGGCGAAGGCGGCCACCUGGGACAACACUGACGCUGAGGCACGAAAGCGUGGGGAGCAAACAGGAUUAGAUACCCUGGUAGUCCACGCCCUAAACGAUGCGAACUGGAUGUUGGUCUCAACUCGGAGAUCAGUGUCGAAGCUAACGCGUUAAGUUCGCCGCCUGGGGAGUACGGUCGCAAGACUGAAACUUAAAUGAAUUGACGGGGUCAUAGCUGUUUCCUG
Molecule: ribosomal RNA, 587 nt
Filed under: uncultured bacterium
Lineage: Bacteria
Description: partial 16S ribosomal RNA
Rfam family: Bacterial small subunit ribosomal RNA
Source: RNAcentral